AUGCUCGUCUUUAGCUCUUCCUCCGUCCUGUCUCCUUUUCUGUCGCUCUUUUCCUUUCUCCCCUUCCCGGCUGACUUUUGUUCUCUCCUCUCGAAAACGCACGCUCGCAUGCACCGAAGACCUUGGGCAGUUUGGUCUUUCACCUCUCUUUCCUUCUUCUUUGUCUUGCAGCUUCUUUCUCCAAGCAGAGACUCCCCGUUGGUGGUGGUGGUCACUUCCUGUUGUCCAUUGAUGAUGACAGAAGGAAAAAAUAAAAGAAAAGGCAAAACGGUGCGAGUACAUCAGGCUGGCUGGUGGGAGAGGGACGGAAGGGUGCUUUGGCACUUGAACUACUGGAGACUGGAAGAAAGAGAAGGAAACUGCACAGAGGAAGAAUGGAUUUUUGUGGCGAAAGUGCUGUCCCGCAAAUCUUUCCAUGUGUCAAAGCCUGCCUGCUGCACAAGGCUGGUCACUUAACUUCACCUUUUCCCCAUGCACAGAAUGGGGGUAACAUUAGCUUGCCUGGUGGGCACGGCAAGGUAAUUACUGCUGCGUGAACCCAGGCACUUCUGUCAGUAAAGGGAAAGCUAGGCUGCUCCUUGCUCCUUUGCGCUAAGCCUGAGUGCAGACUUCCUAAUUUACCACUGAAGAGCCAGUUCAUGCAAUGAGUUUGCUUCUGAGGCAAAAAAAAUGUUGUAAGACACUCUGCGAUAUAUUGACAUGCAUGUAAGUUAGGAAGUACUGCUGCGUUAUUUUCAUGUACUCAUGAUCCUUAUAAUUUAUUUUAAUGGUCAAAAAUAGGAGAGGGGAGGCAGUACCACAUAUAUGUUUUGCAUUACCUAUUUUGUUAGCUGAGCUGUUUGGACCCUGCGGUUUUCAGAGAAAGAUUUUGUAUUUGACACAUCAGCUAAUAUCAGUCAUUAGGCUCAACUGCAUGUGAUUGGUGCUCUAUAAAUACCUGUGUACAAGUGGUUUGCAAUUGUUGCCGUAUAAAUACUUACCAGAGAUAGCUAUACAGUGACCAAGGGAAAAAAUGAAUCAGAUUAUCCUGCAAGAAAUGCGUGGAAGUAGGUAGCGAGAGAAGAACUCGGUAUGAGGUUCCUUUGAAGGUGCAAUGCCAUGGGUUUCAGGGAGAGGUGGCCUGGUCUCCAGGACCGGGGGUCCUAGAGGUGCCUCUACUGGGGUCAAAGGCUCCUGCGGUUUUGCCUGGCUUCAGCUAAUGCAGCAUCAGUGGCCUUGCACACUGUGGUUUCCCCACCAGCUGCUGCCGCCUAGAGGGGAUCAGACCAGGAAAGAGGGUCUGCUGGAAAGCAGUUAGGCUAGGUUGCCAAAAUAACCACCCAGAGGACAUCUCUCCUGGCUCUUCACUGACAUGUGUUGUCUACCCAUCCUCAGCCUUACCACUGAAUUUCUGUUAUCACUUUUUAACAGUUUGUCCGAUAUCCUUGUAGUGUCUAUCCAAAAUAUCUUCAAAGCCACAUGAAAAGCCUUUAAACACAGACUGGCUGACCUGUGCAGGGGAGUGGAUUAGAAACCAGGUCCAGAUUUUCUUCGGGGUGGGAUUUGCCAGCUUUCAAUGAGUAUGCAAGCUAUAACCACUCACAUGAUGAUAGCCUGUCCUUGCCGCUCUUCACCUGCUUUUUUUCGGAGGGACAGAUAUGUUCCUCACCUUAACGCAGGAACCCAUGGAGUAUGCCUCCAGGUGAAAGAGAAGCAGGAACAGAAAAUAGUGAGAGAAAAGUUUUGGCUUUGUCGAUACAGCUUGGCUCAGAAAAUAUUAAAUCCAGGCCAGGUUAAGCUAGGAGCUCAGACCUGGCCUGGCUGGGUGGUGAAGAAAAUGGGUGGCUGGCUGGGUGAGCUCUGAAAUGCUCCUACACAAACUGGACCUUAGGUACUGGUGCUGUGUUAAUCCAGUCAGGAAGCCUUUCCUGGGUUGGCUACUGAGGCAGCUGUGGACCUUGUCUUGUAUUCAGAUGCCUAAUGUGAGAGCUGAUCCAUAAAAGAGGUGCUGGGGGUUAAGGAAUGCAGAUAUUUAGUGUAUAUGAAGAACAGCAACAUCUUAAACGUCACUAGGGAAAGGAAACAGUAUGCUGAACAAACAGCAAUGACCAUGAUAAGGAAAAACAAACCAAUGCCCCUCUAAUUUGCCACAGCAUUUGCACAGGACCAAAUGUAUUCCUGCUUACAGAAUUCAGUAGUCCUAAUUACUUAGACCUACUGGUUUCAAUGGGAAUUGCAUCCUGAUGUAACACAGAAAUCAAAUUUAGCUGUUAGAUGAGAUUGGUGUAAGUUACAGUCCUUUUGAACAUCUGUUGAAUCACAAGUAGGUGUGAUUAUGUCCUUCACCCCCUAUACUCAUUUCCUUACCUAAUUAUAUCCACCACUUCAUAAUGCCACCAUUGAAUUUACCCAGGUAUUUUUCUGAGUCAGUACUCCUAUAGCUCUCCAAAUGCUAUGAUGUUGAGACAAGAAAGUACUUUUUAAAAUUAAGAGCAAUUUACAAUAUGUUACACUUUCAACAUUCAAUUAAAUAAUAAAGAUAUGAGAAUGAAAUCCUUUUGCA
This 2542-nucleotide long non-coding RNA is filed under the name Struthio camelus australis. RNAcentral's name for it is "lncRNA (ENSSCUG00000016494.1)". Lineage: Eukaryota; Metazoa; Chordata; Aves; Struthioniformes; Struthionidae. The record is from RNAcentral.